Molecule: ribosomal RNA, 473 nt
Filed under: uncultured bacterium
Lineage: Bacteria
Description: bacterial SSU rRNA
Rfam family: Bacterial small subunit ribosomal RNA
Source: RNAcentral
ACUCCUACGGGAGGCAGCAGUGGGGAAUAUUGCACAAUGGGCGCAAGCCUGAUGCAGCCAUGCCGCGUGUGUGAAGAAGGCCUUCGGGUUGUAAAGCACUUUCAGUCGUGAGGAAGGUAGUGUAGUUAAUAGCUGCAUUAUUUGACGUUAGCGACAGAAGAAGCACCGGCUAACUCCGUGCCAGCAGCCGCGGUAAUACGGAGGGUGCGAGCGUUAAUCGGAAUUACUGGGCGUAAAGCGCAUGCAGGCGGCCUGUUAAGUCAGAUGUGAAAGCCCGGGGCUUAACCUCGGAAUUGCAUUUGAAACUGGCAGGCUAGAGUCUUGUAGAGGGGGGUAGAAUUUCAGGUGUAGCGGUGAAAUGCGUAGAGAUCUGAAGGAAUACCGGUGGCGAAGGCGGCCCCCUGGACAGAUACUGACACUCAGAUGCGAAAGCGUGGGGAGCAAACAGGAUUAGAUACCCUGGUAGGAUAGCG